GACGAACGCCGGCGGCGUGCCUAAUACAUGCAAGUAGAACGCUGAGGUUUGGUGUUUACACUAGACUGAUGAGUUGCGAACGGGUGAGUAACGCGUAGGUAACCUGCCUCAUAGCGGGGGAUAACUAUUGGAAACGAUAGCUAAUACCGCAUAAGAGUAAUUAACACAUGUUAGUUAUUUAAAAGGAGCAAUUGCUUCACUGUGAGAUGGACCUGCGUUGUAUUAGCUAGUUGGUGAGGUAAAGGCUCACCAAGGCGACGAUACAUAGCCGACCUGAGAGGGUGAUCGGCCACACUGGGACUGAGACACGGCCCAGACUCCUACGGGAGGCAGCAGUAGGGAAUCUUCGGCAAUGGACGGAAGUCUGACCGAGCAACGCCGCGUGAGUGAAGAAGGUUUUCGGAUCGUAAAGCUCUGUUGUUAGAGAAGAACGUUGGUAGGAGUGGAAAAUCUACCAAGUGACGGUAACUAACCAGAAAGGGACGGCUAACUACGUGCCAGCAGCCGCGGUAAUACGUAGGUCCCGAGCGUUGUCCGGAUUUAUUGGGCGUAAAGCGAGCGCAGGCGGUUCUUUAAGUCUGAAGUUAAAGGCAGUGGCUUAACCAUUGUACGCUUUGGAAACUGGAGGACUUGAGUGCAGAAGGGGAGAGUGGAAUUCCAUGUGUAGCGGUGAAAUGCGUAGAUAUAUGGAGGAACACCGGUGGCGAAAGCGGCUCUCUGGUCUGUAACUGACGCUGAGGCUCGAAAGCGUGGGGAGCAAACAGG
Molecule: ribosomal RNA, 765 nt
Filed under: uncultured Streptococcus sp.
Lineage: Bacteria; Bacillati; Bacillota; Bacilli; Lactobacillales; Streptococcaceae
Description: bacterial SSU rRNA
Rfam family: Bacterial small subunit ribosomal RNA
Source: RNAcentral